GCGGGAGUGAAAGAUGUCUGCUGUGCCCCAAAAGCACAGAGGAAAGUCCGGACACCAUGGGCAGGAUACUUCCUAACGGGAAGCUGCAGCAAUGCAGAGCAGCUCCACAGAAACAAACCGCACAGUGCCAAUUUGGCGCUGUGUAAGGGUGAAAUGGUGGUGUAAGAGACCACCGGUGCCAUUGGUGACAGUGGCAGCCAGGAAUGCCUUAUCCGGUGCAAUGCCAAAUAGGGAAGCUAUGGUGUGCCCACACCGCUUCCGGGUAGGCAGCUAGAGCCAAAGCGAGAGUUUUGGCCCAGAGGGAUAGACAUCGGUCCCCCCGGGGAUUACAGAAUCCGGCUUAUUGAGCUCCCGCGCUU
RNAcentral lists this RNase P RNA (359 nucleotides) under Candidatus Cloacimonadota bacterium. RNAcentral's name for it is "RNase P RNA component class A". It matches the Rfam family "Bacterial RNase P class A". Rfam says of the family: Ribonuclease P (RNase P) is a ubiquitous endoribonuclease, found in archaea, bacteria and eukarya as well as chloroplasts and mitochondria. Lineage: Bacteria; Pseudomonadati; Candidatus Cloacimonadota. RNAcentral also lists the same sequence under 1 other name. The record is from RNAcentral.